UUUUUGCAAGGCAGAGGGAAUCUGGGAGAAGGGCAAGGCCUGCCAGAGCCAUGUUUGCCACGCUCGAGCUGGCCAGAGUCCCUUCAAUGAGAAAUGGAGACGAUUUAAAAAGAAGGUGCAAAUGAAAGGCCUUGCAUGAUUUUGUCAUGGAAGCUUCUAGCAAUCAUAAGCGGCAAACGCUCAACAAGCCACUGCAUGACGGAGCAGUAGAGAUCGAAGUUAAAGGAUUCCAAGGAAUCUGCCAUCCUGAGAGAGAAAUGAGAUCCCCCUACCACUUGUUCCUUGACCCUCCCCCGAAACAGACAUCUACUGGUAAAAAUCCCGUGUACUUAUCCGGAGAUGGAAGAGCAUGUGGGGGGUGGGAUGGGGUGAUGUUUGUCAUUGACGUUGUCCUGUUUCGGGGUGAAAGAGGCAGAUGUGGCAGAGACAGAACCUGCCUCACACUCUUGGUUUUCGGUCUACUCCAGAUCCUAUCCUAGUACUAACAUCCAACUUCCGUUUUCCGAAUAAAGUUCUCCACACUUGCGUCUCUGAA
Long non-coding RNA from Arvicola amphibius (Eurasian water vole), 535 nucleotides. RefSeq lists it as uncharacterized. The record is from RefSeq and is a predicted model, not a curated record. Lineage: Eukaryota; Metazoa; Chordata; Mammalia; Rodentia; Cricetidae. The transcript has 2 exons.